This 86-nucleotide transfer RNA is filed under the name Verrucomicrobia bacterium ADurb.Bin345. RNAcentral describes it as "tRNA-Ser". It matches the Rfam family "tRNA". Rfam says of the family: Transfer RNA (tRNA) molecules are approximately 80 nucleotides in length. Their secondary structure includes four short double-helical elements and three loops (D, anti-codon, and T loops). Further hydrogen bonds mediate the characteristic L-shaped molecular structure. tRNAs have two regions of fundamental functional importance: the anti-codon, which is responsible for specific mRNA codon recognition, and the 3' end, to which the tRNAs corresponding amino acid is attached (by aminoacyl-tRNA synthetases). tRNAs cope with the degeneracy of the genetic code in two manners: having more than one tRNA (with a specific anti-codon) for a particular amino acid; and 'wobble' base-pairing, i.e. permitting non-standard base-pairing at the 3rd anti-codon position. The record is from RNAcentral. Lineage: Bacteria; Pseudomonadati; Verrucomicrobiota.
GCACCCGUGGUGGAACUGGCAGACACGCAAGAUUCAGGUUCUUGUGCCUAAACAGCGUGGGGGUUCGAAUCCCUCCGGGUGCACCA